This 59-nucleotide non-coding RNA is filed under the name Spodoptera frugiperda (fall armyworm). Lineage: Eukaryota; Metazoa; Arthropoda; Insecta; Lepidoptera; Noctuidae. The record is from RNAcentral.
AAUCUUUCAUUGUUGUCCCGGUGUAAAAUAUUAUCACCGAGAUGACAGUAAAAGAUGAA